GAUGAAGGACGCAGCGAAAUGCGAUACGUAGUGUGAAUUGCAGAAUUCAGUGAAUCAUCGAAUCUUUGAACGCACAUUGCACCUCUCGGUAUUCCGGGAGGUAUGCCUGUUCGAGCGUCAUUUGUACCCUCAAGCUCUGCUUGGUGUUGGGUGUUUGUUCCGCCUCUGUGUGUGAACUCGCCUCAAAACAAUUGGCAGCCGGCGUACUUGUUUCGGAGCGCAGCACAUUUUGCGAUCCAGAUCAACGUACAGCGGCAUCCAAGAAGCCUUAUUUAACGCUCUUGACCUCGGAUCAGGUAGGGAUACCCGCUGAACUUAAGCAUAUCAAUAAGCGGAGGA
RNAcentral lists this unclassified non-coding RNA (339 nucleotides) under soil metagenome. RNAcentral describes it as "partial contains 5.8S ribosomal RNA, internal transcribed spacer 2, and large subunit ribosomal RNA". The stretch from base 1 to 120 matches the Rfam family "5.8S ribosomal RNA", at positions 35 to 154 of the family's 154-position model. The record is from RNAcentral.